AGAAAACUCCCUCAGCUCUCUCAAAUUUCAGCCAGGCACUCGACAGCACAUGUAAAACGCACGUACACACCUCCACGUUCUAUUUCACGCAAUUCGGUACAUAAAAUAUAGAGACUUUUGCGAAAAUUCCGCUUCGCCAAUUUCGGCGUCUUCUCGAUAAUCACACGAUAUCAAGAGAUCUAUCCGUCAAAUUUGCAAACGGACUGCGCCAGCGCUUCCGACACAGCUGAAACAUUAAAACCACAAAUUUUUUUUGUUUGAAAUGGUCGCAGAUUUGCGACAAAAUCCAUUCUCUCUCCAAUUCACAUAAAUCACCCAGCGAUAGCAAAUGGGCUCCGUUGCCACCCAUUUGUUUUCAAUGAUGGAAUCUCCAAAUCAACGAUCGGUACCGUUGAACAUGAUCUAUACCACUUGAAGUGUUUAGAAAUUAAUUUUCAUACAUUUUCAAUAUUGUUCUCUUAUCCAUCGAGUGGACAUAAAAAUGAACGGAUGAAAAUAAAUAUUCUUUAAAAAAUGAUGAUAGGAGUCUUGUAAUUAAGAUCAAGAGUAUAGAUCUUGUUUUAAAUAGUUUAAAAAAUUUUCUAAUAAAAAAUCAAUUGAUUUGGAUAUCUUUAUGCCGUUAAACGAGAAAACGCCUCAUAUCGACCAUUAAAAUUACAAAUUUUGAAACCCUUUGAUUAUUAGGCAAAUAAUAAUGUCGAAACGAUUUGAAAUUUGAUUUCUAAACACUUCAAGUGGUAUAGAUCAUGUUUAACGGUGUCGAUCGUCGAUUCGGAGGCUCCAUCAUCGAAAACAAAUGGGUGGCAACGGAGCCCAUUUGCUAUUGAUAUAAUAUUCUAGCUCAACUCUCUCUAUAUAUGUGUGUGCGUGUGUGUGUGUGUGUGUGUAAUUCAAAUUUAAAUAAAAAUUUUACUUCAAAUUUGAAUUUACCCUGAUUUAAAAAUCUCGGAUAUUACAAAAAUUAGCAAUCAAAUUAUCGUUUAUAAUUUCCGGUUAAACUAUGUACAUCUUGCUCAUUAAUUGAUUCUUGUUGCAGUCACUAUUUC
Molecule: long non-coding RNA, 1046 nt
Filed under: Ananas comosus (pineapple)
Lineage: Eukaryota; Viridiplantae; Streptophyta; Magnoliopsida; Poales; Bromeliaceae
Description: long non-coding RNA (ACOM_LNC013502)
Source: RNAcentral